GAUGAACGCUGGCGGCGUGCCUAAUACAUGCAAGUCGAGCGAACGGACGAGAAGCUUGCUUCUCUGAUGUUAGCGGCGGACGGGUGAGUAACACGUGGAUAACCUACCUAUAAGACUGGGAUAACUUCGGGAAACCGGAGCUAAUACCGGAUGAUAUUUUGAACCGCAUGGUUCAAAAGUUAAAGACGGUCUUGCUGUCACUUAUAGAUGGAUCCGCGCUGCAUUAGCUAGUUGGUAAGGUAACGGCUUACCAAGGCAACGAUGCAUAGCCGACCUGAGAGGGUGAUCGGACACCCUGGAACUGAGACACGGUCCAGACUCCUACGGGAGGCAGCAGUAGGGAAUCUUCCGCAAUGGGCGAAAGCCUGACGGAGCAACGCCGCGUGAGUGAUGAAGGUCUUAGGAUCGGAAAACUAUGUUAUUAGGGAAGAACAUAUGUGUAAGUACCUGUGAACAUCUUGACGGUACCUAAUCAGAAAGCCACGGCUAACUACGUG
This 497-nucleotide ribosomal RNA is filed under the name uncultured bacterium. Its description in RNAcentral is "partial 16S ribosomal RNA". It matches the Rfam family "Bacterial small subunit ribosomal RNA", at positions 28 to 507 of the family's 1533-position model. The record is from RNAcentral.